AUUUGCAUUACAAUGUAAUUUGUCUUUUAUCUAGCUCUUCUCCUGAACUUACCCAGUCUCUUAACUCUCAUAGAAUCACAGAUCACUGAGUUCUCUAUUCUUCUGUCACUUACUUAAGCAUUUCCUUCCACUCACCUAUCAGCUUAACCUGCCCUUAAGCACCUUCACAUCAGUCUAUUAAGCUAUUUUUUUAUUGGUGUAUGUGUAUGUGUGUGAGGAGAGAGAGAAGAAAAAGAAGGAAUGAGUAUUUUUGAGAAAAUUCCACAGCAGGAAAAAAGAUGUCAUAUUAUUCUAGUUAAAAGAAUUGCAGUUUGGGCUUCAUACCUGGCAGAUUAGGAGGCAGUUAACGAACGUUCAAACUUCAUUUUAUCAUUACUGGAGUAAUACACUUUAAGAUAGAAGGAUUCUUAAAUGUAUUAUUUCUAAAACUGGCCUCAGUUUAACACCAUCCCUGUACUAUUCCCAGAUGCUGAGCCAUUCUU
RNAcentral lists this long non-coding RNA (482 nucleotides) under Bos taurus (domestic cattle). Its description in RNAcentral is "long non-coding RNA NONBTAT015923". The record is from RNAcentral. Lineage: Eukaryota; Metazoa; Chordata; Mammalia; Artiodactyla; Bovidae.